Molecule: ribosomal RNA, 748 nt
Filed under: Pseudomonas monteilii
Lineage: Bacteria; Pseudomonadati; Pseudomonadota; Gammaproteobacteria; Pseudomonadales; Pseudomonadaceae
Description: bacterial SSU rRNA
Rfam family: Bacterial small subunit ribosomal RNA
Source: RNAcentral
GGCAUGACGGAACGUUACAGUCGAGCGGAUGACGGGAGCUUGCUCCUUGAUUAGCGGCGGACGGGUGAGUAAUGCCUAGGAAUCUGCCUGGUAGUGGGGGACAACGUUCCGAAAGGAGCGCUAAUACCGCAUACGUCCUACGGGAGAAAGUGGGGGAUCUUCGGACCUCACGCUAUCAGAUGAGCCUAGGUCGGAUUAGCUAGUUGGUGAGGUAAAGGCUCACCAAGGCGACGAUCCGUAACUGGUCUGAGAGGAUGAUCAGUCACACUGGAACUGAGACACGGUCCAGACUCCUACGGGAGGCAGCAGUGGGGAAUAUUGGACAAUGGGCGAAAGCCUGAUCCAGCCAUGCCGCGUGUGUGAAGAAGGUCUUCGGAUUGUAAAGCACUUUAAGUUGGGAGGAAGGGCAGUAAGUUAAUACCUUGCUGUUUUGACGUUACCGACAGAAUAAGCACCGGCUAACUCUGUGCCAGCAGCCGCGGUAAUACAGAGGGUGCAAGCGUUAAUCGGAAUUACUGGGCGUAAAGCGCGCGUAGGUGGUUCGUUAAGUUGGAUGUGAAAGCCCCGGGCUCAACCUGGGAACUGCAUCCAAAACUGGCGAGCUAGAGUAUGGUAGAGGGUGGUGGAAUUUCCUGUGUAGCGGUGAAAUGCGUAGAUAUAGGAAGGAACACCAGUGGCGAAAGCGACCACCUGGACUGAUACUGACACUGAGGUGCGAAAGCGUGGGGAGCCAACAGGAUUAGAUACC